GUGGAUGAUGUGGAUUAAUUCGAUGCAACGCGAAAAACCUUACCUACCCUUGACAUGUCAGGAAGUCUGCUGAGAGGUGGAUGUGCCCGAAAGGGAACCUGAACACAGGUGCUGCAUGGCUGUCGUCAGCUCGUGUCGUGAGAUGUUGGGUUAAGUCCCGCAACGAGCGCAACCCUUGUCGUUAAUUGCCAUCAUUCAGUUGGGCACUUUAACGAGACUGCCGGUGACAAACCGGAGGAAGGUGGGGAUGACGUCAAGUCCUCAUGGCCCUUAUGGGUAGGGCUUCACACGUCAUACAAUGGUCGGUACAGAGGGUUGCCAAGCCGCGAGGUGGAGCCAAUCCCACAAAGCCGAUCGUAGUCCGGAUCGCAGUCUGCAACUCGACUGCGUGAAGUCGGAAUCGCUAGUAAUCGUGGAUCAGCAUGUCACGGUGAAUACGUUCCCGGGUCUUGUACACACCGCCCGUCACACCAUGGGAGUGGGUUCCACCAGAAGUAGGUAGUCUAACCGCAAGGAGGGCGCUUACCACGGUGGGAUUC
This 539-nucleotide ribosomal RNA is filed under the name uncultured Bacillus sp. RNAcentral describes it as "bacterial SSU rRNA". It matches the Rfam family "Bacterial small subunit ribosomal RNA", at positions 932 to 1470 of the family's 1533-position model. The record is from RNAcentral. Lineage: Bacteria; Bacillati; Bacillota; Bacilli; Caryophanales; Bacillaceae.